CCUGUUCUAACUGGCCAGCCGCCAUCUUGCAACAUGGAGGAUAGAUUGCAAGUGGAGCCAAGAACAAAAUACAGCUGACUCUGAACAAAUCCUUUUCGUGACUUCUGGAUAAAGGACAACUCAAGCCCCUCGUUCCAGUGGCAGUGGAUUGAUGUGCAGCUUCCUAUGUGAAGGCAGAGCACACGUCUGUCUCUGGAGCUUCCUAGAACACAUGGAGAAGACAGAUACAGAGAAGGCAAUGUGAACACAGAACAGAAACAGAUGUGGUUAUGAGCCAAGGAAUGCUGACAGCCACACACAUUGGAAGAGGAACUCCAAGGCCAGUCUCAGGCCUUCACUCUGACUGUGUCUUCCUUAAAGCGUGGUGUGAAUCCACAGAUACCAGAAUCAGCUGGGCAGCUCUCUGACAAUGCAAUUUACUGGGCCCUAUUUCAAGCAAACAAAGUCAAAACCUUCUCUCUGGAAUUCAGAAAUCUGCAUUCAUGACGAUCUUCCCCAAUAAUUACUAUGAAAAAAAUGAAACGUUGAGCAUUCCUGCUUCAGAGCAGAGCUUUAUUAAUGGAAGAGAAGAAGCACUAUGGAGAAGAUAAAAAGUUUGUGUUGCUAGGAAAUGACACCCUAAGGACAGAUUAUGGCUAAGAAGAGAAAACUAAAGGGAGAAGACUUAGCAGUGGGAUCCAUUUAAUGAAGAACCAAAUAGUCUUGACUCAAAAGGCCUUGUGAAAAUUCCUGCAUAAAAUCUGACAACCGCAAAUUACCCAAAAAGAUUUCUAACUUGGAAUCACUAAGGACAAAAACUCCUAUAUUCCUGAAGCCCUACAAGCUGGAACUGGACAACUCGAUGUAAAUUUCAGGAGACAACCCCCAUGCGUGAUGUGUGGGCCACUAAGGGAGUUUAUCAAAACAUCCAAUGCCAUAACCAGAGACAUUCAAACUAAACCAAGAAAAUGUUUCAAGCUCAAAUCCAGAAAUCUUGUCAACUAACUGCCCUCUGAACUCAGAGACUGAGUUUAAAAUUUGUCCUAAGCCAUUAACCUUUGUUAAUAGCUUUUUUUUGUUUUGUUUAUUUUUUCUGGUUUGGUUCAUGAGGGCAUUUGUUAAGAAGCAUACUCUAAUCCCUUGGUAUAUCCUCCUGAUAGUUCCCAUUGUAAUCUCCCAGCUGCAUUCUCUCAAGGGUUUUGAAGGUGUAUUUGCAGCGAUUAGUGGUAUACUAGGUGGCCUCACUGUGAUUACAGCAACAACUGCAAGAUGACCAAAGGAAUGUGUCUUCCACAAGGCUGACAUUGUGACUUAUGAGUUUCAUGCUAAGACAAAGACAACCCUGCCAUGAUGAUGACUGACAGUAGUGCUGAUGCCAUAAAUUUUUAUCAAAUCCCUCAGUACAGGUUGAGUCUGAUCAAAAGGGGAAAGCUGUUCAGUAAAAUAUGUGGGAGGUCAUUGUUUUGGAUUAAGCUCCUGCACUAGGCCCCAACAGCCCAGAUCAAACCAGAAUGGAGUCACUCAUGCCAGAUGCCACAUUGUCAAACUGAAUGUAAAAAUAGGUCACUUGUUCAAAAAAAAAAGGAGAUUCACAGUAACCAAUUGAAAGGGGCCCAGUCAACCUAAGCUCACAUGAUAAGGAAGUCUCCUCUAGUUUAACGUAUGCAAGGAAAGUAGCUUUGAAAUCACCAGUCCACUUUUUGUUUCUUCUUUCUGCUUUCUUCAGCCUUUUCCAUUAUAAAGCCCACACAUCUGCUCAGCUCAGUAGGGCACCUUUCUAUUUCAUAGAUGGAAUGUCACUUGAUUCAUGAAUCUUUAAUAAAAGCCAAUUUGAUGUUUA
Molecule: long non-coding RNA, 1819 nt
Organism: Pan troglodytes (chimpanzee)
Lineage: Eukaryota; Metazoa; Chordata; Mammalia; Primates; Hominidae
Exons: 5
Source: RefSeq, a predicted model, not a curated record